GUUGAGGCACAAAAUUUACGACAGUUUGUUGAGACACAAAAUUUGUGUUGACAGUUUGUUGAGACAAAAUUUGUGUUAAUUCAUCCUUUGAUAGUAUGUUAAGAGAAAAGGCCUUUCUCACCUUCCUGUUCUGUCUCUGUCUUCCCUCCCUUCCUCAGUCUCUAGAAGUAGCAACAUGGUGAUGCAGACACAGCAAUCACCCACACUAUGAUGGUUCUUGAGCUUAUUGUAGUGUCUGCGCUCACCAUUUUUGCUAGACAAAAAGAGAGAGGGAGAGGAAGUAAAGAGAAAGAAAAGGAUGUCAUCAGCGUGUGAAGACAAGUCAUGGAGGGGGCUAUAUUACCUCUAGACAGCUCUAGUCAUUGAAACAAGAUUUGGAAUCAAGAAGCCAUCUGGGCCAUCUUGUAGUUUCCCAUGGAGUGUUCUAUUCAAUCUAAUUAUGUAUGCUUCAUUGCUCACUAUCAAGCCACCAAAAUAGCAUGGCAAUGCAUAUGGCAAACAUGAAAGAAUAAUCUGAGUGCUGAAGCCCACGAAGUGUUUUGAAGGCUGCUACCAAUUCUCAUGUGUCCCUGGUUGAUGGUUCUGGGUCUGUUUUUGGACCAAACCAUCAGAAGUUGAGUACUCGUAGGCGGGAUCAAGUUCUCCAUAUGAAAUAAGAAAGAUAUCUAGUUUGAGCUUCUUGUAUCGUCAA
Molecule: long non-coding RNA, 691 nt
Organism: Vitis vinifera (wine grape)
Lineage: Eukaryota; Viridiplantae; Streptophyta; Magnoliopsida; Vitales; Vitaceae
Exons: 2
Source: RefSeq, a predicted model, not a curated record